This 466-nucleotide ribosomal RNA is filed under the name uncultured bacterium. RNAcentral's name for it is "partial 16S ribosomal RNA". It matches the Rfam family "Bacterial small subunit ribosomal RNA", at positions 28 to 507 of the family's 1533-position model. The record is from RNAcentral.
GAUGAACGCCGGCGGCGUGCUUAACACAUGCAAGUCGAACGAUGAAGCCCAGCUUGCUGGGUGGAUUAGUGGCGAACGGGUGAGUAACACGUGAGUAACCUGCCCUUAACUCUGGGAUAAGCCUGGGAAACUGGGUCUAAUACCGGGUAGGAGCGUCCACCGCAUGGUGGGUGUUGGAAAGAUUUAUCGGUUUUGGAUGGACUCGCGGCCUAUCAGCUUGUUGGUGAGGUAAUGGCUCACCAAGGCGACGACGGGUAGCCGGCCUGAGAGGGUGACCGGCCACACUGGGACUGAGACACGGCCCAGACUCCUACGGGAGGCAGCAGUGGGGAAUAUUGCACAAUGGGCGCAAGCCUGAUGCAGCGACGCCGCGUGAGGGAUGACGGCCUUCGGGUUGUAAACCUCUUUCAGUAGGGAAGAAGCGAAAGUGACGGUACCUGCAGAAGAAGCACCGGCUAACUACGUG